ACCUUCGCAUCAUCUGAAAAUGUCCAGAUGAGUUGGAGGCAGCAAUGAACAACCAGGCAACCAACUCUCAUAAAGAUGAAUCAAACUAUGGUGAUCUGAUAAGCAGACUUGUGAGAUCCAUUUUUUCACCCAAAAGGGAGCCAGGGCUUUGUUCUCUACUUUACCUACCCACAGCAUCAAAAGAAAAUAGACACAAUAUGGCCCUUUGUAGCAACACAUCUCUUCAGUAAUCGAAAUGAUAAAUAAAUA
This 249-nucleotide long non-coding RNA is filed under the name Cercocebus atys (sooty mangabey). RNAcentral's name for it is "lncRNA (ENSCATG00000045685.1)". The record is from RNAcentral. Lineage: Eukaryota; Metazoa; Chordata; Mammalia; Primates; Cercopithecidae.